GAUGAACGCUGGCGGCGUGCCUAAUACAUGCAAGUCGAGCGAACAGAUGAGGAGCUUGCUCCUCUGACGUUAGCGGCGGACGGGUGAGUAACACGUGGAUAACCUACCUAUAAGACUGGGAUAACUUCGGGAAACCGGAGCUAAUACCGGAUAAUAUAUUGAACCGCAUGGUUCAAUAGUGAAAGACGGUUUUGCUGUCACUUAUAGAUGGAUCCGCGCCGCAUUAGCUAGUUGGUAAGGUAACGGCUUACCAAGGCAACGAUGCGUAGCCGGCCUGAGAGGGUGAUCGGCCACACUGGAACUGAGACACGGUCCAGACUCCUACGGGAGGCAGCAGUAGGGAAUCUUCCACAAAGGGCGAAAGCUUGACGGAGCAACGCCGCGUGAGUGAUGAAGGUCUUCGGAUCGUAAAACUCUGUUAUUAGGGAAGAACAAAUGUGUAAGUAACUAUGCACGUCUUGACGGUACCUAAUCAGAAAGCCACGGCUAACUACGUG
Molecule: ribosomal RNA, 497 nt
Filed under: uncultured bacterium
Lineage: Bacteria
Description: partial 16S ribosomal RNA
Rfam family: Bacterial small subunit ribosomal RNA
Source: RNAcentral